This 179-nucleotide ribosomal RNA is filed under the name uncultured bacterium. RNAcentral describes it as "partial 16S ribosomal RNA". It matches the Rfam family "Bacterial small subunit ribosomal RNA", at positions 1322 to 1500 of the family's 1533-position model. The record is from RNAcentral.
GAAGCUGGAAUUGCUAGUAAUGGCAGGUCAGCAUACUGCCGUGAAUACGUUCCCGGGCCUUGUACACACCGCCCGUCACACCAUGAGAGUUGGAAAUACCCGAAGCCUGUGAGCUAACAGUAAUGAGGCAGCAGUCGAAGGUAGAGCCAAUGAUUGGGGUGAAGUCGUAACAAGGUAUC